UGCGGAGGGAUCAUUACCGAGUUUACAACUCCCAAACCCCUGUGAACAUACCUUAAUGUUGCCUCGGCGGAUCAGCCCGCGCCCCGUAAAACGGGACGGCCCGCCAGAGGACCCAAACUCUAAUGUUUCUUAUUGUAACUUCUGAGUAAAACAAACAAAUAAAUCAAAACUUUCAACAACGGAUCUCUUGGUUCUGGCAUCGAUGAAGAACGCAGCAAAAUGCGAUAAGUAAUGUGAAUUGCAGAAUUCAGUGAAUCAUCGAAUCUUUGAACGCACAUUGCGCCCGCUGGUAUUCCGGCGGGCAUGCCUGUUCGAGCGUCAUUUCAACCCUCAAGCCCCCGGGUUUGGUGUUGGGGAUCGGCUCUGCCUUCUGGCGGUGCCGCCCCCGAAAUACAUUGGCGGUCUCGCUGCAGCCUCCAUUGCGUAGUAGCUAACACCUCGCAACUGGAACGCGGCGCGGCCAUGCCGUAAAACCCCAA
RNAcentral lists this ribosomal RNA (479 nucleotides) under Fusarium sp. FBCC2314. RNAcentral describes it as "eukaryotic LSU rRNA". The stretch from base 168 to 321 matches the Rfam family "5.8S ribosomal RNA". The record is from RNAcentral. Lineage: Eukaryota; Fungi; Ascomycota; Sordariomycetes; Hypocreales; Nectriaceae.